UACGAAGGGGGCUAGCGUUGUUCGGAAUUACUGGGCGUAAAGGGCGCGUAGGCGGUGUGUCAAGUCAGGCGUGAAAGCCCCGGGCUCAACCUGGGAAUGGCAUUUGGGACUGCAAGGCUUGAGUGCGGCAGAGGAGACUGGAAUUCCUGGUGUAGCAGUGAAAUGCGUAGAUAUCAGGAGGAAUACCGAUGGCGAAGGCAGGUCUCUGGGCUGACACUGACGCUCAUGCACGAAAGCGUGGGGAGCAAACAGG
RNAcentral lists this ribosomal RNA (253 nucleotides) under uncultured bacterium. RNAcentral describes it as "partial 16S ribosomal RNA". It matches the Rfam family "Bacterial small subunit ribosomal RNA", at positions 524 to 776 of the family's 1533-position model. The record is from RNAcentral.